UUUUUUUUUUUUCCCACUGUACAAAGAUUCAACAAACUUUAGACGAGAAAAAGAAGUUCCAGAGCUCCUGUCGUGGCUCAGCGGUUUACAAACCCAGCUAGUAUCCAUGGCAACAUGGUUUGAUUCCUGGCCUUGCUCAGGGGUUUAAGGAUCCAAGGUUGCAGUGAGCUGUGGUAAAGGUCACAGACUCUACUUGUAUCCCACAUUGCUGUGCCUGUGGUGUAGGCCAGCAGCUUCAGCUCCGACUCAUCCUUUAGCCUGGGAACCUCCAUGUGCCACAGGUGUGGCCCUAAAAAGACACACACACACACACAAAGAAGUUCCUAAAGUCUGACCCAUUUUCCGUCAAACCACUCAACACUGGGGGUGCACUGGCAAAGUGACAAAAAGUGAUAUGGGUAACUUAUAAAAGAAGACCAUGUAGCAAAGGUGGGGGGAACUUACAGAAUUGAAGGGAAUGCAGAGGACCCUGACUUGUAGUAAACAAGAAGUGGGGGGUGUUGCAGUCUGAAUAGUGACCCCCAAAUUCAUAUGUUGAAUCCCUAAUCCCCAGUACCCCAGAAUGUGUGACUGCCUUUGGGCCUUUAAAGAGGUGAUUAAGUUAAAUACGGCCAUUUGCUGGGGGGUGAGAGUGGACAACCUAAUCCAGUUUGACUGGUGUCCUUAGAAGAAGAGAUUAGGACACAUGGACACCCGGAAACCAGGGAUGUGGGCACAGAGGAAAGAGCAUGUGAGAGCCCAGGGAGAGGGCAGCCAUCUGCAAGCCUAGGAGAAAAGACCUCAGAGAAAACCAGACCCGCCAACACCUUGAUCAUGGGCUUCUAGCUUCCAGAACUGUGAGAAGUGUUUUUUAAACCACUCAGGCUGUGGUAUUUUCUUAGGGCAGCCCUUGCAAACUAAUAAGUGGUCUUGACAGUAAGCUCUUGAAAAUUAUCUGAGGAAUAAAUGGGUAAAUUUCCACCAAUGUCUCUCCUCGCAUUGACGUCCAGGUAGAAAGAAUCCCAUUAGCAGAGCUCAGAUUCAGGUCAUGUACACUCAUCCCCACUAGGUUGUUGAGAUGACUGACUUGUCCAGAGCCCAGCAGUGGACUCCACUCUGGUCCAUGAUGGAGAGAACAGAAAACCUUAAGUCUCACCAACUGCACACGGUUAGCAGGGAGGGAUUCUCCAGUGGGGAAUCCAGGUGUGGUUAAGGGCAGAUUCUGAAAUGAACCAAAAGUGACAGAUAUUCUCUAUAUUAUGUUUUUGAUAAACCAUUUGAAAAUAAACUGAUCUGAUUUUGAAACUUGACCGUUUUGCUUUUCCGAUAGAAAAUCUAAAUUCAGUUUUGAAGGCAUGCCAUCUAUUUUUUUAAAUAUGAAAAUUUUAUUUAUUUAUUGUUUAGGUCCACAUUUACAGUAUAUGCAAGUUUCCAGGUUAAGGGCCAAAUCAGAGCUGCAGCUGCCAGCCUACACCACAGCCGUGGUAACUUGGGAUCCAAGCUACAUCUACAAACCACACCAUAGCUCAUGGCAAUGCCAGAUACUUAAUGCACUGUGUGAGGCCAGGGAUCAAAUCCACAUCCUUGUGGUUACUAGUCAGGUUCAUAACCACUGAGCCACACCAGGAACUCCCUAAAAAUUUUAAAUAUGAAAUGAAAUCAACCUUUGCUUUUGGGUUUCAUUCCAUCUCCAUCAUACCAGUCUGCCUUUAGCAUAUCAUUACAAAUCCUGUUGGACCUGUUCUCGCUAACCACUCAGGGCCAAGUCUUUCUGUAAAACCAGACUUUAGUAUCUGAUAAUAUAAUUUCCUUUAUCAUCUUUUUUUUUAAAUGCUGUUUUCACAUUUUAGUUGACAGAACUUUUAUGUAAAAUGUCAAGAGCAUUCUGUGCUUUGUUAAACCUUUGCCUGAAAAUCAGCCAUGUUUUCAAGUGACCUUGGGGAGUCGAUCUUUAGAAAGACAGCAGCUUAUUUCACGGAUAAAAAAUUGGGGCUCAAACUCUCACAUUGAAACCAAGUUCCUUGGCUGAGUUUAUGAUUAACCUCUCUAUCCAAAACUUUAUUUCUUUUCUUGUCCUACACAUGUUCCCCUCAAGAUUAAAGAGCAACAAAGAUAAGGGGGGAUUGAAACCAGUCAGGACCCUGUGGAGCCCUCCCAGGUACAAAAGCCUCUCCAUACCCACCCCCCUUUUUAGGCUCUACCCACAGCAUAUGGAAGUUCCUGGGCCAGAGAUUGAAUCCAAGUCUCAGCUUCAGCCCACACCACAGCCUUCAACCCACUGUACCAGGCCCAGGAUCCAACCCAUGCUUCCAUAGCAACCCAAGCCACUGCAGUCAAGUUCUUAACCUACUGUACCACAACAGAAACUCCAUGUCCCACAUUUUUUGUAUAUAGAAAAAGGCUUUAGUCUCACUAGGCCUCCCCUGAGUUCCACAGAGAAGCCACAGGCAGCUACUAAUUAAGGAAGUGAGAGAAUGCAGAAACAAAGGAAAAACAAUUUUAAAAAGUAAUGACAAUACUUUGCCAAUAAAACAGUCUUCAUUUCUCACCAAGCAAUAUACAUAAUAUCUGAUGGAUAUCUUUGAGUUGUUCUUCAAGAACUAAGACACUCACCACCACCCCCAGGUAUAGAAUGGUGGCUGCUUGCUGACCACAAGCACAUAGAACCUAGACUGGUUGACACCAGAAGGUUGAUGGUUGAGAUUCCCAAAACCCCACCCUGUUAUUUCACCAACAACCAGUGAAAAGAAAGUCAUGCAUUCUACAGCCCUCACUUCAAAUAUUGCCUUUAAAAACACUCCCCCAACCCUCCUACACUGUUGGUGGGAAUGUAAACUGGUACAACCACUAUGGAAAACAGUACGGAGGUUCCUCAGAAAACUAAAUAUAGAACUACCAUAUGAUCCAGCAAUCUCACUCCUAGGCAUAUAUCCAGACAAAGCAUUCAUUGAAAAAUAUACAUGCACCCACCCCCAUGUUCAUUGCAGCACUAUUCACAAUAGCCAAGACAUGGAAACAACCUAAAUGUCCAAUGACAGAUGAAUGGAUUAAGAAGAUGUGUUAUAUAUACACGAUGAAUUACUACUCAGCCAAAAAAAAAAAAAAAGCAAAAUAAUGCCAUUUGCAGCAACAUGGGUGGAACUAGAGACUCUCAUACUAAGUGAAGUAAGUCAGAAGUAGAAAGACAAAUGCCAUAUGAUCUCCCUUAUAUCUGGACUCUAAUAUACAGCACAAUGUUCCUGUCUACAGUAAAGAAAAAAAUUCAUGGAUGUGGAGAACAGACUUGUGAUUGCCAAGAGUGAGGGGGAAGAAAUGGGAUGGACUGGGAGUUUGGGGUUAGUAGAUGAAAACUAUUGCAUUUGGAAUGGAUAAGCAAUGAGAUUCUGCUGUAUAGGCCAAGGAACUACAUCUAAUCACUUGUGAUGGAACGUGAUGGAAGCUAAGGUGAAAAAAAGAAUGUGUAUAUAUAUAUAAACACACACACAUAUAUACAUAUAUAUGUAUGUAUAACAGGUUACUUUGCUGUUAGAAGAAAUUUUGAUAGAACAUUGUAAAUCAACUAUAAUAAAAAUGAAAAAUUAAAAAAAUACUCCCCUGAAUACCAUCCAGGACUUCGGGUCUUUUGAGCAUGAAUUGCCCAUACUCCUUGCUGGGCUCUGCAAUAAAAUGAUGUACUUUCCUUCACCACAACCCAGUGUCAGUAAAUUGGCUUUGCUUCAAGGUGGGUGAGUAGACCCAAGUUCAAUGUGAUAAAAACAGCAGAUGCCAUCAAUUCAAAGAAAGCUCCUUCACCUUGCAUGUAGAAAGAUCUUUCGAGACAGUGUGUAGUAAGUCAAGAUUUGAUUAUUAAAACACAACCACUACAUCUCUGUGAUGAAAGAAAACUUUGUGAUCUGAGAGGCCAAUGGAGAGAAUCUGAAAAAAUUUUGUUUUAUGCAAGAAAAAUUAUUACUAUCUUUAGAAAACAGGACGUCAUCUUUUUGCUCUUUAUACUGAAAUAAUAUUUAAGAAUCUAAGACUUUAACUGUAUAAUUAUUUUCUCAAGUCCAGAUACCUUUAUAAAUUUGUUUAUGCUGGGUAAUGUUUGGAUGAGUUUUACAAUCACUGCUAUGAUACAGCACAGUGAAAUAUAGUGCUUUUGUUUACAUAGGGUCUGCAUUAAACCACACUUCUCCAGUCUUUCUCUUAUUUUUAUCGUUUACUAAGUAUGUGACCUUGAGCAAGUUACCUAUAAUAUUGUGAUUUGUAGUAAGAAAAAUAUACAUUGGGUUUUCAUCUUUGGUUUAGGCACAGAACUUUUAAAACACUCUUGAAAUUUCCUGAGUGUUAAGAGGGAUAAAGGUGUCUUUUGUUAUGUCAAUGAGGUGACUUUUAAAAGCCCCUAGAAACCUAAGAAUGAUUGCCAGGGAACCAACCAUGUGGCCUGAUGGAAGAGUUGCAAGUUUCACAUCUAGCCACUACUUCUAGGGGCUAGAGAUUGAGUUUGAUCACCAGUGACCAAUGAUUUAAUCUGUCGUGCCUGUGUAAUGAUGCCUCCAUUACAAAAAAAAGGUGGGGAGGGGUUCAGAGAGAGCCUCCAGGUUGUUGAAUACGUGGAGA
This 4578-nucleotide long non-coding RNA is filed under the name Sus scrofa (pig). Its description in RNAcentral is "lncRNA (ENSSSCG00015042661.1)". Lineage: Eukaryota; Metazoa; Chordata; Mammalia; Artiodactyla; Suidae. The record is from RNAcentral.